This 499-nucleotide ribosomal RNA is filed under the name uncultured bacterium. Its description in RNAcentral is "partial 16S ribosomal RNA". It matches the Rfam family "Bacterial small subunit ribosomal RNA", at positions 28 to 507 of the family's 1533-position model. The record is from RNAcentral.
GACGAACGCUGGCGGCGUGCCUAAUACAUGCAAGUCGAGCGAAGUUUUUCUGGUGCUUGCACUAGAAAAACUUAGCGGCGAACGGGUGAGUAACACGUAAAGAACCUGCCUCAUAGACUGGGACAACUAUUGGAAACGAUAGCUAAUACCGGAUAACAGUAUUUCUCGCAUGAGAGAUAUUUAAAAGUUGGUUAUGCUAACACUAUGAGAUGGCUUUGCGGUGCAUUAGCUAGUUGGUGGGGUAAAGGCCCACCAAGGCGACGAUGCAUAGCCGACCUGAGAGGGUGAUCGGCCACACUGGGACUGAGACACGGCCCAGACUCCUACGGGAGGCAGCAGUAGGGAAUCUUCCGCAAUGGACGAAAGCCUGACGGAGCAACGCCGCGUGAGUGAAGAAGGAUUUCGGUUCGUAAAGCUCUGUUGUUAGGGAAGAAUGGAUAUGUAGUAACUAUACAUGUAAGAGACGGUACCUAACCAGAAAGCCACGGCUAACUACGUG